This 65-nucleotide non-coding RNA is filed under the name Durinskia baltica. Lineage: Eukaryota; Dinophyceae; Peridiniales; Kryptoperidiniaceae. The record is from RNAcentral.
AAAAUUGAGGCAUUGGCUUUCAACAUACUUACCCAAUGAAGCAGAUUGUAUCAAGAGGUCAUACA